This 71-nucleotide transfer RNA is filed under the name Caldilineaceae bacterium SB0661_bin_32. RNAcentral's name for it is "tRNA-Gln". It matches the Rfam family "tRNA". Rfam says of the family: Transfer RNA (tRNA) molecules are approximately 80 nucleotides in length. Their secondary structure includes four short double-helical elements and three loops (D, anti-codon, and T loops). Further hydrogen bonds mediate the characteristic L-shaped molecular structure. tRNAs have two regions of fundamental functional importance: the anti-codon, which is responsible for specific mRNA codon recognition, and the 3' end, to which the tRNAs corresponding amino acid is attached (by aminoacyl-tRNA synthetases). tRNAs cope with the degeneracy of the genetic code in two manners: having more than one tRNA (with a specific anti-codon) for a particular amino acid; and 'wobble' base-pairing, i.e. permitting non-standard base-pairing at the 3rd anti-codon position. The record is from RNAcentral. Lineage: Bacteria; Bacillati; Chloroflexota; Caldilineae; Caldilineales; Caldilineaceae. RNAcentral also lists the same sequence under 5 other names.
UGGGGGAUCGUCUAAUGGCAGGACUACGGUCUUUGGAACCGUCAAUCGGGGUUCGAAUCCCUGUCCCCCAG